GAACGUGGCUUAGUGGCCAGAGCACUUGGAUGACAUACAAAAGGCGUAGAUUCAAAACCCACUACGUUCA
Molecule: transfer RNA, 70 nt
Filed under: Heliconius melpomene (postman butterfly)
Lineage: Eukaryota; Metazoa; Arthropoda; Insecta; Lepidoptera; Nymphalidae
Description: tRNA HMEL016383
Rfam family: tRNA
About the family: Transfer RNA (tRNA) molecules are approximately 80 nucleotides in length. Their secondary structure includes four short double-helical elements and three loops (D, anti-codon, and T loops).
Source: RNAcentral